Molecule: ribosomal RNA, 864 nt
Filed under: uncultured archaeon
Lineage: Archaea
Description: bacterial SSU rRNA
Rfam family: Archaeal small subunit ribosomal RNA
Source: RNAcentral
UUCCGGUUGAUCCUGCCAGAGGUCACUGCUAUCGGGGUUCGAUUAAGCCAUGCGAGUCGAGAGGGUUCGGCCCUCGGCGUACUGCUCAGUAACACGUGGAUAACCUGCCCUAGGGGAGGGGAUAACCCCGGGAAACUGGGGAUAAUACCCUAUAGGUUACAGAUGCUGGAAUGCCCUGUAACCAAAAGCUCCGGCGCCCUAGGAUGGAUCUGCGGCCGAUUAGGUUGUUGUUGGGGUAACGGCCCAACAAGCCCGUAAUCGGUACGGGUUGUGGGAGCAAGAGCCCGGAGUUGGAUUCUGAGACACGAAUCCAGGCCCUACGGGGCGCAGCAGGCGCGAAACCUUUACAAUGCGGGCAACCGUGAUAAGGGAACCUCGAGUGCCUGUAAACGCAGGCUGUUCAGGUGUUUAAAACGCACCUGGAGAAAGGGCCGGGCAAGACCGGUGCCAGCCGCCGCGGUAAUACCGGCGGCUCGAGUGGUGGCCGCUUUUAUUGGGCUUAAAGCGUUCGUAGCUGGGUUGUUAAGUCUCUUGGGAAAUCUGGCGGCUUAACCGUCAGGCGUCUAAGGGAUACUGGCAAUCUUGGAACCGGGAGAGGUGAGGGGUACUUCGGGGGUAGGGGUGAAAUCCUGUAAUCCUCGAGGGACCACCUGUGGCGAAGGCGCCUCACCAGAACGGCUUCGACAGUGAGGGACGAAAGCUGGGGGAGCAAACCGGAUUAGAUACCCGGGUAGUCCCAGCCGUAAACGAUGCGCGUUAGGUGUAUCGGUGACCACGAGUUACCGAGGUGCCGAAAGGAAACCGUGAAACGCGCCGCCUGGGAAGUACGGUCGCAAGGCUGAACUUAAAGGAAUUGGCGGGGGA